Molecule: ribosomal RNA, 450 nt
Filed under: uncultured bacterium
Lineage: Bacteria
Description: partial 16S ribosomal RNA
Rfam family: Bacterial small subunit ribosomal RNA
Source: RNAcentral
GUGGGGAAUAUUGGACAAUGGGCGCAAGCCUGAUCCAGCAAUGCCGCGUGGGUGAAGAAGGCCUUCGGGUUGUAAACUGCUUUUGUACGGAACGAAACGGUCCUGGCUAAUAUCCGGGGCUAAUGACGGUACCGUAAGAAUAAGCACCGGCUAACUACGUGCCAGCAGCCGCGGUAAUACGUAGGGUGCGAGCGUUAAUCGGAAUUACUGGGCGUAAAGCGUGCGCAGGCGGUGCUGUAAGACAGGCGUGAAAUCCCCGGGCUCAACCUGGGAAUUGCGCUUGUGACUGCAGUGCUGGAGUGCGGCAGAGGGGGAUGGAAUUCCGCGUGUAGCAGUGAAAUGCGUAGAUAUGCGGAGGAACACCGAUGGCGAAGGCAAUCCCCUGGGCCUGCACUGACGCUCAUGCACGAAAGCGUGGGGAGCAAACAGGAUUAGAUACCCGUGUAGUCC